CCUACGGGAGGCAGCAGUGGGGAAUUUUGGACAAUGGGCGCAAGCCUGAUCCAGCCAUGCCGCGUGCAGGAUGAAGGCCUUCGGGUUGUAAACUGCUUUUGUACGGAACGAAAAGGUUUGGCCUAAUAAGCUGAGCUCAUGACGGUACCGUAAGAAUAAGCACCGGCUAACUACGUGCCAGCAGCCGCGGUAAUACGUAGGGUGCGAGCGUUAAUCGGAAUUACUGGGCGUAAAGCGUGCGCAGGCGGUUAUGUAAGACAGAUGUGAAAUCCCCGGGCUCAACCUGGGAACUGCAUUAGUGACUGCAUAGCUGGAGUACGGCAGAGGGGGAUGGAAUUCCGCGUGUAGCAGUGAAAUGCGUAGAUAUGCGGAGGAACACCGAUGGCGAAGGCAAUCCCCUGGGCCUGUACUGACGCUCAUGCACGAAAGCGUGGGGAGCAAACAGGAUUAGAUGCCCUGGUAGUCCACGCCCUAAACGAUGUCAACUGGUUGUUGGGUCUUCACUGACUCAGUAACGAAGCUAACGCGUGAAGUUGACCGCCUGGGGAGUACGGCCGCAAGGUUGAAACUCAAAGGAAUUGACGG
RNAcentral lists this ribosomal RNA (585 nucleotides) under uncultured bacterium. RNAcentral's name for it is "bacterial SSU rRNA". It matches the Rfam family "Bacterial small subunit ribosomal RNA", at positions 338 to 916 of the family's 1533-position model. The record is from RNAcentral.